RNAcentral lists this long non-coding RNA (4625 nucleotides) under Phaseolus vulgaris (common bean). RNAcentral's name for it is "long non-coding RNA (PVUL_LNC004093)". The record is from RNAcentral. Lineage: Eukaryota; Viridiplantae; Streptophyta; Magnoliopsida; Fabales; Fabaceae.
CACAAUAACCAAGGGGCUCGUCAUAACCUAAGUCUUUUUUGAGUUUUCCUUCUUUUUUUCUUUUUUCCUGGUAUUGUUCACAGUACAUAAGGAUUAAACUAUGGUUUGUUUAUUUGCAGUGGUGUUUGGAUUAGAUGGGUAACAACGCAUAUUCAUCGUAUCAAGUUUCUAUAACUAGUAAAUUCAUUUACGUCAAUUUUGACUAUAAUUUUCUAUUUGAGUAUGACGAGGAAAAUUACUUCAAUUUCUUUUCAUUUGACCAAGGGCUCAACAUAACCUUAAAUCUUUUUUGAGUUUCCCUUAUAUUUUUUUUAUGGUAUUACAUAAGGAUUGAACUAUGAUUUGUUUAUCUGCAGUGGUGUUUAGAUUAGUUGGGUAACGUGCAGAUUCAUUUUAUCAAGUUUCUAUAACUAGUAAAUUCAUUUACGUGAAUUUUGAGUAUAAUUAUCUAUUUGAGUAUGAUGAGUUUUAAACCUGUUGCGUAAAUUUCUUUUCAGCUGGUAGCUGGUUUUUUGGCAUUUCUGUUGCUUAUGGAUGAUAUGAAAAGCACAACAACCAAGGGCUAGACAUAACCUUAAGUCUUUUUUGAGUUUCCCUUCUAUUAUUUUUUUAUGGUUCUACAUAAGGAUUGAACUAUGAUUUGUUUAUCUGCAGUGGUGUUUUGGAUUAGUUGGGUAAAUUUCUUUGCUCCUUUUCAGCUGGAGUUCUCUGGCAUUUCUUUCUCCUAUGGAUGAUAUGAAAAGCAGAAGGACCAAGGGCCUCGACAUAACCUAUUUUUCUGCUACGGACUAUGAUUUGUUUAUCUGCAGUGGUGUAACACGUUUCUAUACUUCUUCCUUUUAUUAAGAGCUUAGUUCGUUUUCUUGAUUUUUUUGCUGUAUAGGUAGUUCGUUUUCUUGAAUUUUUGGGCUAUACAGGGAAGGCACGGAAUGGAUGUGAAAUGAAGUAUUAUGUUUUGUUACCUUUAAGUCUUUUUUGAGUUUCCCUUCUAUUAUUUUUUUAUGGUUUUACAUAAGGAUUGAACUAUGAUUUGUUUAUCUGCAGUGGUGUUUUGGAUUAGUUGGGUAACGUUGCAUAUUCUUCUUAUCAAGUUUCUAUAAUUAGUAAAUUCAUUUAGGUCUAUAUGAGGAUGACGAGUUUUGAACCUUCUGCGUAAAUUUCUUUGCACCUUUUCAGCUGGAGUUCUCUGGCAUUUAUUUCUCCUAUGGAUGAUAUGAAAAGCAGAAGGAUCAAGGGGCUCGACAUAACCUAAGUCUUUUUUGAGUUUUAUUUCUUCUUUUUUUUCCUGGUAUUUAUGACAGUACAUAAGGAUUGAACUAUGAUUUGUUUAUCUGCAGUGGUGUUUGGAUUAGUUGGAUAACGACGCAUAUUCAUCUUACAAGUUUCUAUAACUAGUAAAUUCAUUUACGUGAAUUUUGAGUAUAAUUCUCUAUUUGAGUGUGACGAGUUUUAAACCUUUUGCCUAUCUGGUAUUGAUCACGAAAAUAAGGAUUGGACUAUGAUUUGUUUAUCUGCAGUGGUGUAACACGUCUCUAUACUUCUUCCUUUUAUUAAGAGCUUAGUUCGUUUUCUUGAAUUUUUGGGUUGUACAGGGAAGACACACAAUGGAUGUGAAAUGAAGAUUAUGUUUUGUUACCCUUAACUUUUUUAUGGGUUUAUUCGUGACUGAUCAUUUGAUUUCGUAGUCUAACUUUGUGUUUAUGUUCACUCCCCUUCAGCAAUUGGAGUUUCUGAGAUUUGAAACCCUAAAAAGUUUAAAACGGUUGCAGCUCAGGAUAUCCCAAUUCUCUCUAUCUAUUGUUUAAUUUCUCUCUACUUGAUCUCCAAGGAUUGAAUUGUGCUCGACUAUUUUACCUUAAAGUCCUGCAGCAUCUCAUGGAGUGUGUUAUGAGGCCCUAAGGGUUGAAUUGGUGUUUGAAUUAUUUUCGCCUAAUGUCCUGCAGAGUAUGUUAUGAGAUUUAAGGGUUGAAUUGUGAUUUGUUUCCUGUUUGGAUGAUUUGCAUAGUGUCCUGCAUCCUAUGGAAUAUGUAUGGUUUUCGCACGGUCAUCGCGAGUAUGUUAUGGCCACCAUCUUCCUUGGUUAUUUAAGUCUUCAAUUUAUCUUAUCGUUCUAUAGUUCAUCCUUGAUUACCAGUUAUACUUUGUUGAAUUAUUGUUCUUCACAGGGAUGUGUGGGGGUAGGACAGGGAUGUGUGGGUAGGACUUUCCUCGUGGUUGGUUGAAAAUGAUGGAUGAGUCAUGCUUGACGGUAUGAAAAACACAAUGACAAAGGGCUCGACAUAACCUAAGUCUUUUUUGAGUUUUCCUUAUAUUUUUUCUUUUUCCUGUUAUUGAUCACAGUACAUAAGGAUAUGAUUUGUUUAUCUGCAGUGGUGUUUGGAUUGGUUACGAUGCAUAUUCAUCUUACAAGUGGUGGCUGGUUUUUUGGCAUUUCUUUUACCUAUGGAUUAUAUGAAAAGCACAACGACCAAGCAUUUCUAUUAUUUUUAUGGUAUUACAUAAGGAUUGAACUAUGAUUUGUUUAUAUGCAGUGGUGUUUGGAUUAGUUGUGUAACGUCUAUGUUCAUCGAAUCAAGUUUCUGUAAUUAGUAAAUUCAUUUAGGUGAAUUCUGAGUAUAAUUCUCUAUUUGAGGAUGACGAGUUUUAUCCUUUUGCAUAAAUUUCUUCUCACCUUUUCAGUUGGUGGCUGGUUCUCUGGCAUUUCUUUUGGCUAUGGAUGAUAUGAAAAGCACAACGACCAAGGGGCUCGACAUAACCUUCAAGUCUUUUUUGAGUUUUCCUUCUAUUUUUCUUUAUCCCGGUAUUGAUCACAAUACAUAAGGAUAUGAUUUGUUUAUCUGCAGUGGUGCUUGGAUUAGUUGGGUAACGUAGCAUAUUCAUCUUAUCAAAUUUCUAUAAUUAGUAAAUUCAUUUAGGUGAAUUCUGAGUAUAAUUCUCUAUUUGAGGAUGAAGAGUUUUGAACCUUUCGCAUAAAUUUUUUUUCACCUUUUCAGCUGGUGGCUGGUUCUCUGGCUUUUUUUUUGCCUAUGGUGAUAUGAAGAGAACAACGACCAAGGGCUCAACAUAACCUAAGUCUUUUUUUAGUUUUGCUUCUAUUAUUUAUAUUUUCUGGUAUUGAUCACCUACCACAAGGAUUGUAAUAUGUUUUUUUUUAUCUGCAGUGGUGUUUGUGUAACGUCGCAUAUUCAUCUUAUCAACUUUCUAUACUUCCUCCCUCUUAUUAGCGAUUAUCUUUUCCUUCAAUUUUUGGACUGUACAGGGUUUAUCGUUUCCUUCAGUUAAAUUCGGUUUUCGUGUUCAUUCCUUUUCAGCAAGUCCCGAGUCUGAGAUUUCUUUUGGCGGUUGAGGAACUAGAGUUUAGAAUGGUUGCACAUCAGGAUAUCCUAAUUUCUCAAUGAGUGUAUCCUCUAUUAUUUUAUUUAAUCUCAGCAGCGGUGUUUAGAUGAUUUUUGCUUAUUGUACUUCAUCUCAUGAGUGUGUUAGGAGGGCGACAGUGUCUCCCUUAAUUUUUUGAUUUAUCUAAUCAUCCGUUAUAGAUUUGUUGUAUUAUUGUUCUUUAGGGAUGUGUGGGCUUAUAGUUUUGUUGAAUUAUUGUUCUUUACAGGGAUGUGUUGGGUAGGACGUGGAAACCAUGUCGGGAUAUUUCUUGAACUGUGAAUCAUUCGUUUUUUUUCCUACUCUUACACUAGUUUUUUCUAUUGCAUUAGUUUGUAUUUGGCCAACCUUGUUGGUUCGAUUUUUAUUUUUUCUUCUUAGGCAUAACCAAAUAAAUAUUGGAGGGCUAAUGAAUGUCCUAUUUUAACAUAUGAUCACGACAAAUGGUCUCUUGGCAGCUUGAUUUUAUGAUCCGUGUCUCUAUGCACUGUGACCUUAGGCACUUUGGUGGUCUCAGGCCUAGAUAAAUUGAAAAGAAGUAUCUUGGAGUCAUUCCCUUCAUUUUAGUAGUGGUAAUUAGCAAGAGCUCAGGACUAUUUGGCUCCAAUUUUUUUAUUACAAAACUUUAUUUUGUCUUAGUUUUCUUUUUUUGACAAAUGAAUUUUCGGAAACAGUGAAUGGAGGUCCAGUGAAACUUUAGGUUUUAUUAUCUUUGCAUUCAUUAUUAUUUUCUUUGCGGUUAUUCUUUUGGCUAACCUUGUGGCUAAACAUGUAGAGUGGCAGUUCUUGUAAACAGGCACUAUAUGAGUAUGAUAGGCUUUGACAUUUGUUUUGUUGUGCCUUCGAUUAUCUUCUUCUACUUGGGUUGCAGUGACUUACUAUGAGCGGUUCCCAUGGUUUUCAAUUUUUGAAUUUACCUUAACUUUUCUUUACUCUGUCAUGUCAUGCUUUUAAGAAAAUUAGUUUUCUCAAAUCCCCAUGCUUCUGGUUGAGCUUUUACAGGAAAACUAUAGAUAUAUGGGGCAGGUUUCGGAAAUAAUUAUUGGACUUUACAGGGAAUUCAUGGGCUACCCAAAAUGAGGUGUGAAUUAUGUGAUAUGUGAAGCUCAAUGUUUUUAUUAACGGUACAUUGUAGUAUCUGAAUUAAUUUUUAACUGGCUCAACUUGUUGGUUUGAUUAUAAUCUUGGUUGUAUUUUGAUGGUGUAUGGUUCAUAAGUGGCAUUGUGAGCAUGGGACAAGUGCGGUUGGA